Molecule: ribosomal RNA, 477 nt
Filed under: Triticum aestivum (bread wheat)
Lineage: Eukaryota; Viridiplantae; Streptophyta; Magnoliopsida; Poales; Poaceae
Description: partial small subunit ribosomal RNA
Source: RNAcentral
AUGUCCACUCUGCGGCCACGAGUUAGUGACAGCCGUCGCAAGGAGUGGGAACAAUGUUGGCACCGAUUCUACAAGUGCAUCCGCUACGAUUCAAGGCAGUGCCGUUUCUUUGAGUUCCAGCGUGCGUACAACAUGAGGAUGACUCAUGAGCAGAUCCUGGCUAUGCAGCACCAGGCCGGAUGGCACCCACCCGGGUUUGGAUUCGCGCCCCAGCAGGGAAAUGGUCCUUCUCAGAUGGUUCGUGCUACCAUCCAACCCCAGAUCCAGGCGCAGUUGCAGCCGCAGAUGCAGCCGCAGACGCAGCCUCAGAUCCAGUCUCCGAUGCAGCAGCUUCCCCCGGCGGGCAACAAUAUGAUAGCUGACGCCGGAGUCGGAGCAGCAUAUGGAGCACAAGGCCUAGGUGCAGUCGCUGUUCUUAUGGCUGCAGUGAACAUCAUGCUAACUGUUGUGCUGUUGAUGGUUGUGUUAGCUAAGUAA